RNAcentral lists this ribosomal RNA (118 nucleotides) under uncultured Vibrio sp. RNAcentral describes it as "partial 16S ribosomal RNA". It matches the Rfam family "Bacterial small subunit ribosomal RNA", at positions 556 to 671 of the family's 1533-position model. Lineage: Bacteria; Pseudomonadati; Pseudomonadota; Gammaproteobacteria; Vibrionales; Vibrionaceae. The record is from RNAcentral.
GGGUGUAAAGGCGCAUGCAGGGUGGUUCAUUAAGUCAGAUGUGAAAGCCCGGGGCUCAACCUCGGAACUGCAUUUGAAACUGGUGAACUAGAGUACUGUAGAGGGGGGUAGAAUUUCA